CCUACGGGUGGCUGCAGUGGGGAAUAUUGGACAAUGGGCGAAAGCCUGAUCCAGCCAUGCCGCGUGUGUGAAGAAGGCCUUCGGGUUGUAAAGCACUUUCAGUGGGGAAGAAAGCCUUGGGGCUAAUACCCUCGAGGAAGGACAUCACCCACAGAAGAAGCACCGGCUAACUCCGUGCCAGCAGCCGCGGUAAUACGGAGGGUGCGAGCGUUAAUCGGAAUUACUGGGCGUAAAGCGCGCGUAGGCGGUCUGAUAAGCCGGUUGUGAAAGCCCCGGGCUCAACCUGGGAACGGCAUCCGGAACUGUCAGGCUAGAGUGCAGGAGAGGAAGGUAGAAUCCCCGGUGUAGCGGUGAAAUGCGUAGAGAUCGGGAGGAAUACCAGUGGCGAAGGCGGCCUUCUGGACUGACACUGACGCUGAGGUGCGAAAGCGUGGGUAGCAAACAGGAUUAGAUACCCCUAGUAGUC
This 466-nucleotide ribosomal RNA is filed under the name Vreelandella stevensii. RNAcentral's name for it is "partial 16S ribosomal RNA". It matches the Rfam family "Bacterial small subunit ribosomal RNA", at positions 338 to 795 of the family's 1533-position model. Lineage: Bacteria; Pseudomonadati; Pseudomonadota; Gammaproteobacteria; Oceanospirillales; Halomonadaceae. The record is from RNAcentral.